Molecule: transfer RNA, 74 nt
Filed under: Saprospiraceae bacterium
Lineage: Bacteria; Pseudomonadati; Bacteroidota; Saprospiria; Saprospirales; Saprospiraceae
Description: tRNA-Arg
Rfam family: tRNA
About the family: Transfer RNA (tRNA) molecules are approximately 80 nucleotides in length. Their secondary structure includes four short double-helical elements and three loops (D, anti-codon, and T loops).
Source: RNAcentral
GGCUCCGUAGCUCAGCUGGAUAGAGCAGCUGACUUCUAAUCAGCAGGUCUCAGGUUCGAAUCCUGACGGAGUCA